CACCACACUCUUCCGCUUCAGCUGUCUUUUUUGCCUCAUGGCUAUACCCACACUGACCACUCCUUCAAUGAAGACAGUAAUGAGAUCAUCUGCACACUCCACAGAGCUCCAGAGUUACUGUUCAUAGCAAAAGUGUAAUGCUGUCCUUGGAGAUUUUCACCUAAGACUGUGAGUGUGAGUGUGUAAUGGAUUUCAAAGUGUUUAAGUGUUCAGAGCACUCUACAGCCUGGUAAGGUGGCAAGUUUGAAAAGAGCAGCAGAAGGUAUCAGUACUGUAGUGUAACUUGUUCUUUUCCUUUCCUAACAGUGAACAGAGUGCCGAUUAUUAUCGACAGCUACGUCCACCCGGGGUGAAAGUAGUGUGGGAGACCAUCAGGACCCAGCUGGGUUUCCUUGGUCCAGAGGUUUGGAGAAACCUCUUCCUUUUCUUUCAUCACAGCUGUCCUGUGCCAGAUGUUCUGUUGACCCACUGAGAGAGGCGUGUUUGAGAAAGAUCAGGAAGACUGAAGCUCAUGGUAGGAAUGAAGGAGGACCUUGUGAGCUCCACCAGCAGCUCCCUCACAAGGAACUGUUCACAAGUCCACUGCAGGCACGCCCCAGAAGAUGGAUAAAGGCAGCGUUUCAUGAAGACACUGGAACCAAUCUAUCUUCAUAACAGCAGGAUAAAGACAUGGUGAUAAAUGAGUGUGUGGGCCGUCUGCUGAGGACCAGGAGCUCAGGACACUCAGACGGGGGCGUCGCAGCAGGAGUCACCGCGCACCACAAUCCUCUGCUGUUCUGAGAUGUCACACUCCUGCCUGCACAUAGAAACCACAGUGAAGUCAAAGUUCCACCUGCACCUCCACCUGUUCUUGCAACAGCAUGAACACUGACAGAGUGAGACAG
Molecule: long non-coding RNA, 884 nt
Organism: Oreochromis niloticus (Nile tilapia)
Lineage: Eukaryota; Metazoa; Chordata; Actinopteri; Cichliformes; Cichlidae
Exons: 3
Source: RefSeq, a predicted model, not a curated record